GGCGGGGCCCGAGUCUCCUCACUGUCAGCCCUGCUGAUGCGGACCUGGCUUGGCCUCCGGGGUGAAAGCGGAGAGCUACGAACCGCGUCUGCCUUGUUCACUGCGGUGGACGGUGGACGCAGCGAAUAGCACACAUCCCGAGAACGCCACAAAUAGCUAACGAAUAAUGUGUGGAUGAGAACCCAGAUUUAACAGGCGCUCAGCUUGUGCCGGGCUUUGUUCUAAGCUCCUAGCAAGUGAAGAAAUGCGUGCACAUUAAGUGCCGCAGUGUAGGCCUGGUCCAUGUCGCCCUACAUAUGCUUACGUACCUUAUGAUACGGAGGGCUAGGAACUGGGAUGAAGAGGCAGGUCACCAUCUGAGACACAGAAAUCCGCAGAGACCUGGAAGAUAAAGAGACUGCAUAUUGGCUGCACCGUGAGUCAGCACCAGCAUGGGAGACACUCAGGCAGCCAAGGGACUCAAACAUCUGCAACCUGGCUCCGAGCCAAGGAUACAGAUAACGGGCUCCAAAUUCCCAGUCCUGCACGAUGGGCUCAAAACUAAAAUCAUUUAUUAUUUCUAAGAGGAUGAAAAUCAGAAAAAACUGAGUAAUCCAUCUACAAGGAUUUAUAAAUGAACCAAAUGUC
This is a long non-coding RNA of Ictidomys tridecemlineatus (thirteen-lined ground squirrel), 627 nucleotides long. RefSeq lists it as uncharacterized. The record is from RefSeq and is a predicted model, not a curated record. NCBI's taxonomy places the organism in Eukaryota, Metazoa, Chordata, Mammalia, Rodentia, Sciuridae.